Long non-coding RNA from Lycium barbarum (goji berry), 985 nucleotides. RefSeq lists it as uncharacterized. The record is from RefSeq and is a predicted model, not a curated record. The transcript is spliced from 5 exons. Lineage: Eukaryota; Viridiplantae; Streptophyta; Magnoliopsida; Solanales; Solanaceae.
UCAUUUUCCCCCUUCUCUUUCACUCUCUUCUCUCUCCAUCUCCUCUCUCUACCAUCCCACCACCCGACUGCCCCCACCCCCUCCUUAGACGGUCAACGCCACCCGCCGCCGCCGCUUUUUUCGACCAGCAAUCGUCGCCACCAGACGCCGCCAGCUCAGGUCAUUUCUGAAGAGAUGGAUAUGACAAAAAAGAAAUAUCUUAGAGGUGAAGGAACAGAUUUGAAGAUGUUAAAGAGCUACUUCUAAUAAUUUGCAAGCAUUGAAAGAUAAAAAAUUACAGGGUCAGCUUGCUGUGAAAGAAGAUUUGUAUGGAAAAUCUGCAGCAGCUGCCGCGAAGGCUGAGAAGAUUUUGGUCCUUACACUCUUGAAUUCACCCCUAGCGGUCGCUACAUGGCUGCAGCUGGACGAAAGGGUCACAUUGCUAUUGUAGAUAUGAAAAACAUGAAUGCCAUUAAAGAACUACAGUUAGAUGAUUUAGUAUCAUUAAUUUCAAUAUCACAUAUCAAGCUUAGUUUAUCGAAUGAAGAAGUCAAUUUAAAGCGGUGUCUUAAUGCUGGACUUUCCUAUAUAUGCAACAAACAAUGGAGCCUUUCGUCGAUACCCGUCGGCCCUUGAAGUCGUAGGUGCUGCUGAUGAUGAUAGGGCAGUUGAUCCUAAGGAGUAUGAAGCUAUGAAGCAUCAAGUUGACCCGCUAACAAGAACACUUAAUUCCUCGGAGGCCAGGAUGUUGGGGAGGAUACGGAUCAUGUCUCUAAUACCGAACGUUGACCUUUUUGAUUAGUGUGCUUUUGGAUUCUAAUUCGGCUAUGUUUAAAUGGAUAUGUAUAUUACGUUUAAGAGUUUGAAUGUAGUUUUAAUUCGAAUUAGAAGUACUUUUAAUUUUAAGAUGUUUAAGUGGUUGAACGUAGUUUAUGAUGUUUAAGUGUUUGAAUAGACAAUGUUUGAGUAUUCAAGUGUUUGAAUAUUGUUUAUGGUUGUUGUGUUG